This is a long non-coding RNA of Malaya genurostris, 1670 nucleotides long. RefSeq lists it as uncharacterized. NCBI's taxonomy places the organism in Eukaryota, Metazoa, Arthropoda, Insecta, Diptera, Culicidae. The record is from RefSeq and is a predicted model, not a curated record. The transcript has 4 exons.
AAAAAAAUCCACACGUUAAGCUUAUGUGAAAAAACACGUAGAUUCCCAAAAUUGCUUUGUCAUCGGAGUUUACGUGAUCUUCUUAACAACCAUCGGAUCAUGAUUGAAUAUGAAAUGAAUCAUAUGUCAGCAAUAUUGCUGUUGUCACAUAUAUUUUAUGUGUCACGUACAUACUUGAAUUCAUUUUGUCAUGUUCAUUUGGUGCUCGCAAUAUGGCGACUAUUGAAAAACUUCGAUCAACAUAGGCCAAAUCCUUUUUGGCCCUUCUACGGUAUUUAUCACAAUGAUUUUAGGAUCUAAUAUUAGUACCGAGCAGAAGAAUAAUUUAUAAGCAAAUGUACCAUUGUUUCCAGCACAUCAAUCUUCUGAAAGUGGAUCAACAAAAUCACAUCCUGAACUAUUAGUUCCAGCUGAAUGCAUUCCUUAAAGGAAACAACGUUUGCUUCAGUUUAGCUGCUUAGAAGGGAUUUUCACCAGUGAUUCAACAGAAACAAAAUUUUAUGUCAUUUAAAAGUAAAAUUUUCAGAAUGUCUGCGUGCAAACAAAAUUUAUCGCAAUGUUUUGUCCAAUAGACUAUGUAAUUUAUUAGUUUCUAGUACCAACAUACACAAUUAGGAUUUAAUAUAGACUUUUAAGUAAAAUUCUGGUAAAAAGUAAGUUCAGAUGAAAUUAAUUUUACAGUACAACUUAAAUGAGCUUCGUAUAAAUUUCACAAAACCAUUAUAUAGAAUCAACGAAAAUAGUCACAUAGAUAUUACGUGAUACAAAGGUGAACUAAGAGUUCAUGAGUUCAUUCUGUGCUAUCUAUACAUCACAUAAUUAUUACAAGAAAAGUUCUAUGGAUAAAAAUCACAUACGUUUUCACGUAGCAUUAACGUGAAGAUUUUUCUGAGUGCACGAUGUAAAAUACACUGGUGGCAUCGGCGUCAAGCCAGGAACCUAAAUCAAGGAACCAAAAAUUAAUUUUUGUUCCUGAAUUUUAGUGCCUAAAGCGCCACUUAUGACUCAAAAAAUCAACCAACAGCGUCAAUUCAGGAAAAAAAAUCCAGGGACUAAAAUAUUUAAGAGAAAAAUAUCGAGUUCGAAUUCAACUUUUUAGUAAUAUAACUAGUAGUAUUUUUUAAUCUGAAUAAAUUUGUGCAUGUCACGGCACGUAUUGUGUCUUUAAAAGGACAGGCUGAUUUCAUCGGAUAUUUACUGUUACCAGACGAAUCAGAUGCACUUCGAAAAGCUGAUAAUCGGAAACUACUCCUUUUUUUGAGGAUUCAAGCUAAACUAGUCAUCCGUUCCGUAAGGGAGCACCUCCUGAUAUUUGCGGAGGAGACUUGGUAUCCAGAAACUAUGAAUGAAAAAUUUAAAUCCUCAUACUAGACAGACAGAGUAAUGAAACGUACCGAAGUUGAAUGAGCUGUCUUGUCAUCGAUUUCAAAUAACAGAACUUUCUAAAAACUGUCUGGAGCAAUCGUCGAAUAUCGAUUCAUACGAUUCACAACUAUUCUUUUGUAAAAACAAACUCCAUUAUAUGUCUAAAUUUGAUGCACGCUGUUGCAGAUUUGAUGUUUCCACAUGAUUUCUAUCAAACAUAAUCAGCAUGCGAUUAAUAGAAAAAUGUAAUGAAUAUUAAAAUUAUAUUGGCUAAAGUUUUAUCGACUUUUCGCAUAACUUGUAUA